This 460-nucleotide ribosomal RNA is filed under the name uncultured bacterium. Its description in RNAcentral is "partial 16S ribosomal RNA". It matches the Rfam family "Bacterial small subunit ribosomal RNA", at positions 338 to 795 of the family's 1533-position model. The record is from RNAcentral.
CCUACGGGAGGCAGCAGUGAGGAAUAUUGGUCAAUGGGCGAGAGCCUGAACCAGCCAAGUCGCGUGAGGGAGGACGGCCCUACGGGUUGUAAACCUCUUUUGCCGGGGGACAAACGGCGGCACGCGUGCCGUCCUGAGGGUACCCGGAGAAAAAGCAUCGGCUAACUCCGUGCCAGCAGCCGCGGUAAUACGGAGGAUGCGAGCGUUAUCCGGAUUUAUUGGGUUUAAAGGGAGCGUAGGUGGAUUGUUAAGUCAGUUGUGAAAGUUUGCGGCUCAACCGUAAAAUUGCAGUUGAAACUGGCAGUCUUGAGUACAGUAGAGGUGGGCGGAAUUCGUGGUGUAGCGGUGAAAUGCUUAGAUAUCACGAAGAACUCCGAUUGCGAAGGCAGCUCACUGGACUGCAACUGACACUGAGGCUCGAAAGUGUGGGUAUCAAACAGGAUUAGAUACCCCAGUAGUC